AAAACUUUCAACAACGGAUCUCUUGGUUCCAGCAUCGAUGAAGAACGCAGCGAAAUGCGAUAAGUAAUGUGAAUUGCAGAAUUCAGUGAAUCAUCGAAUCUUUGAACGCACAUUGCGCCCCUCGGCAUUCCGGGGGAGCAUGCCUGUUCGAGCGUCAUU
This 159-nucleotide ribosomal RNA is filed under the name Xanthoparmelia neochlorochroa. RNAcentral describes it as "5.8S ribosomal RNA". It matches the Rfam family "5.8S ribosomal RNA". Rfam says of the family: 5.8S ribosomal RNA (5.8S rRNA) is a component of the large subunit of the eukaryotic ribosome. It is transcribed by RNA polymerase I as part of the 45S precursor that also contains 18S and 28S rRNA. The record is from RNAcentral. Lineage: Eukaryota; Fungi; Ascomycota; Lecanoromycetes; Lecanorales; Parmeliaceae.